GACGAACGCUGGCGGCGUGCUUAACACAUGCAAGUCGAACGGAAAGGCCCUGCUUUUGCGGGGUGCUCGAGUGGCGAACGGGUGAGUAACACGUGAGUAACCUGCCCUUGACUUUGGGAUAACUUCAGGAAACUGGGGCUAAUACCGGAUAGGAGCUCCUGCUGCAUGGUGGGGGUUGGAAAGUUUCGGCGGUUGGGGAUGGACUCGCAGCUUAUCAGCUUGUUGGUGGGGUAGUGGCUUACCAAGGCUUUGACGGGUAGCCGGCCUGAGAGGGUGACCGGCCACAUUGGGACUGAGAUACGGCCCAGACUCCUACGGGAGGCAGCAGUGGGGAAUAUUGCAGAAUGGGCGGAAGCCUGAUGCAGCAACGCCGCGUGCGGGAUAACGGCCUUCGGGUUGUAAACCGCUUUCGCCUGUGACGAAGCGUGAGUGACGGUAAUGGGUAAGGAAGCACCGGCUAACUACGUG
This 468-nucleotide ribosomal RNA is filed under the name uncultured bacterium. RNAcentral describes it as "partial 16S ribosomal RNA". It matches the Rfam family "Bacterial small subunit ribosomal RNA", at positions 28 to 507 of the family's 1533-position model. The record is from RNAcentral.